RNAcentral lists this ribosomal RNA (261 nucleotides) under uncultured archaeon. Its description in RNAcentral is "partial 16S ribosomal RNA". It matches the Rfam family "Archaeal small subunit ribosomal RNA", at positions 748 to 1009 of the family's 1478-position model. The record is from RNAcentral.
AGGGUGUAAACGCUGCGGGCUUGGUGUUGGGGGUCCUUUGAGGGCGCCCAGUGCCGGAGAGAAGUUGUUAAGCCUGCUGCUUGGGGAGUACGUCCGCAAGGAUGAAACUUAAAGGAAUUGGCGGGGGAGCACCGCAACGGGAGGAGCGUGCGGUUCAAUUGGAUUCAACGCCGGACAACUCACCAGGAGCGACGGUUACAUGAAGGCCAGGCUGAUGACCUUGCCUGAUUUUCCGAGAGGUGGUGCAUGGCGUAGACGUCU